GUUGCAUUUCAAAGCAGAUGUAUUGCUCAUUUCGAGAUUAACUUGAACCUCCUUAGAUUUGGGGUUUGGAGUAGAAGAGAGGCCAUAUUUCCCCCUAUAUUUCCCCCAACAAUGGAAAAGACAAACUGAAAUGACACUCUCCGGUUUCACCAAGCAUCUAGACAAACUGUACUGUUCGAUGCUGGGUUUGUUAGACGCUAAUACACGUGUGCUUGGCAGCAGGCAGGCCUGCUGAGGGAUGGCCGGCCGGUGAAAAGCCCAACAGCCGUUGGAUUUGUAACUGCCUGUCCAAAAAUCUGCCAGGGCAGGAGCUGCCUGUCCAAAAUUCAGCCAGGACCUGCGCUAGACAUUGUGUAGCCUACACGUCUUGCUUCUUUCAAACUCUGACCUGAGCCCCCAAUACAUUGAGUUUACAUAGAUGUAUUUUUGGACCAUGGUUUACAUAUAUAAUGUAUACAAAAAAUUAAGUACACCUGCUCUUUACAUGACAUCCAGGUGAAAGCUAUGAUCUCUUAUUGAUGUCACCUGUUAAAUCCACUUUAAUCAGUAUAGAUGAAGGGGAGGAGGUAGGCUACAGAAGGAUUUGAAGGGGGUAUGGUAGUAGGUGCCAGGCGCACCAUUUUGAGUUUGUCAAGAACUGCAACGCUGCUGGGGUUUUUUAAGCUCAAGUUUCCUGUGUGUAACAAGAAUGGUCCAGCACCAGCCAACUUGAUACAACUGUGGAAAGUAUUGGAGUCAACAUUAGCCGGCAUCCCUGUGGAACGCUUUGGACACCUUGUACAGGCUGUUCUGAGGGAAAAAGGAG
RNAcentral lists this long non-coding RNA (805 nucleotides) under Salmo salar (Atlantic salmon). Its description in RNAcentral is "lncRNA (ENSSSAG00000090775.1, ENSSSAG00075024342.1)". Lineage: Eukaryota; Metazoa; Chordata; Actinopteri; Salmoniformes; Salmonidae. The record is from RNAcentral.